UGUGUAGGCGGUAUAUUAAGUCUGUUGUUAAAUCCCCCGGCCUAACUGGGGAACUGCAGUGGAAACUGAUACGCUAGAGGUUGGAAGAGAGAAGUGGAAUUCUCUGAGUAGCGGUAAAAUGCGUAGAUCUCGAGAGGAACACCAAUGGCGAAGGCAGCUUCUUGGUCCAUACCUGACGCUGAAACACGAAAGUGUGGGGAGCAAACA
Molecule: ribosomal RNA, 207 nt
Filed under: uncultured bacterium
Lineage: Bacteria
Description: partial 16S ribosomal RNA
Rfam family: Bacterial small subunit ribosomal RNA
Source: RNAcentral